GAGAGGCUGCAGAGAGAAAGUAAAGACCUGAUCGGAGAGAGUAGGAUGUGUUCGAAGAAGAAGAGAGGUAGAGAGAGAUACAUAUGAUGAGGAUGAGAAUGAACUUAAAGACGUAUGACCACGCCAAAUUCAAUGUUUCUCUUUGGUCUUUCUUCUCUGAGAUUCUUUUCAUUUGACUUUGUAUUUUACGGUAUUUGUUUCCUUUAGAUUACCUUAUAAUUAAUUAGCCACUGUAAAAUGAUAGUAAUAAAAAAUUGUUU
RNAcentral lists this long non-coding RNA (260 nucleotides) under Brassica napus (rape). RNAcentral describes it as "long non-coding RNA (BNAP_LNC011689)". The record is from RNAcentral. Lineage: Eukaryota; Viridiplantae; Streptophyta; Magnoliopsida; Brassicales; Brassicaceae.